Molecule: non-coding RNA, 233 nt
Filed under: Pteridomonas danica
Lineage: Eukaryota; Dictyochophyceae; Pedinellales
Source: RNAcentral
CCCAACGUUAGUAGUAGUGGAUAUGCAGUGGUUGAUCAUUCUCUGAGCGCCACUCAUAGCUUCGAGAACGAUCCUUUGAGAUGGAAGAAGAAUGAACCUGCUUCUGCUCAUUGGCCCAAACCUCGAGAUAAGAAAGACCUUGCUGUGUCCUCAUCCAUGGUGCCCUCGAACUUAGCCAGAGAUAGCAGCCUUAGCCAGGUAAGCAAUCCGCGCAGACACAUUUAACAAAGAUU